GAGAAAGGUGGGUCAUGGGUGGAUUUCUAAUCUAUCUCAUAGGCAGUUCAACUCUGUCUCUUUCUUU
This 67-nucleotide transfer RNA is filed under the name Tapes dorsatus. RNAcentral describes it as "tRNA-Ser". RNAcentral also lists the same sequence under 1 other name. The record is from RNAcentral. Lineage: Eukaryota; Metazoa; Mollusca; Bivalvia; Venerida; Veneridae.